This 384-nucleotide long non-coding RNA is filed under the name Olea europaea (common olive). RNAcentral's name for it is "long non-coding RNA (OEUR_LNC004513)". Lineage: Eukaryota; Viridiplantae; Streptophyta; Magnoliopsida; Lamiales; Oleaceae. The record is from RNAcentral.
ACUUGCAAAAUUUGAUAUUAUAUAUGCACUGAAAUUGAGUUGACAUUGUGAUGAAAUAAGUUGAUUCAUAUGCUUUAUAGGUUGAUUUAGUUGAACAUAGACGCUUUAUCCAUACCAUACAAAUUAUUUACCUUUAGAACAAAUUUAGAACAGUUUGGGGGUGAUUUUGCUAUUGUAGGAAGAUACGGAUAUGGGCAAGGAUUCCAUGUGUGAAAUCUUAUGUGUGGAUUGUCUUAAACUAACAGGAUAAAAUUGGGUAAAAGUCUUGAGUUGGAGGUUGAUUUGAUUGAAUAAAUGUAUGAUAAAGGACAUUGCACUAAUCAAGGCAUAUAUUUUGAAAUUAAAAACUUCUCUCUAAAGCUUUUAUGACUCGAGUAAUUAAGC